GGAUGAACGUUGGCGGCGUGCCUAAUACAUGCAAGUCGAACGAAGACUGUAGUAAUACUGUCUUAGUGGCGAACGGGUGAGUAACGCGUGGGUGACCUACCCCGAAGUGUGGGAUAACAGUCCGAAAGGAUUGCUAAUACUGCAUAAUAUCCAAGAGAUUAGAUGCUUUUGGAUUAAAGGAGUAAUUCGCUUCGGGAGGGGCCCGCGUCCCAUCAGCUAGUUGGUAAGGUAAUGGCUUACCAAGGCGAUGACGGGUAGGGGACCUGAGAGGGUGGCCCCCCACAAUGGAACUGAAACACGGUCCAUACACCUACGGGUGGCAGCAGUAGGGAAUAUUGCAAAUGGGCGAAAGCCUGAUGUAGCAACGCCGCGUGUGCGAUGAAGGUCUUCGGAUUGUAAAGCACUUUUUGGAGGGAUGAGGAAGGACAGUACCUCCAGAAUAAGCCUCGGCUAACUACGUGCCAGCAGCCGCGGUAACACGUAGGAGGCAAGCGUUAUUCGGAUUUACUGGGCGUAAAGCGCGUGCAGGCGGUUUGGAAAGUUGGAUGUGAAAGCUCCUGGCUCAACUGGGAGAGGUCGUUCAAAACUUCCNGACUUGAGAGUGGUAGAGGGAGGUGGANNNCCGGGUGUAGUNNUGAAAUGCGUAGAUAUCCGGAGGNACACCAGUGGCGAAAGCGGCCUCCUGGACCANNNCUGACGCUCAGACGCGAAAGCUAGGGUAGCAAACGGGAUUAGAGACCCCGGUAGUCCUAGCUGUAAACGAUGUGAACUUGGCGUUGGUGGGUUUAAAUCCAUCAGUGCCGAAGCUAACGCGAUAAGUUCACCGCCUGGGGACUACGGCCGCAAGGUUAAAACUCAAAGGAAUUGACGGGGCCCCGCACAAGCAGCGGAGCAUGUGGUUUAAUUCGAAGCAACGCGAAGAACCUUACCAGGUCUUGACAUCCAGGUAAAGCUGCAGAGAUGCAGUGUGUGCUUGCACAAUCUGAGACAGGUGGUGCAUGGUUGUCGUCAGCUCGUGUCGUGAGAUGUUGGGUUAAGUCCCGCAACGAGCGCAACCCUUGCCGAUAGUUACUAACGGGUAGAGCCGAGGACUUUAUUGGGACCGCCGGGGACAACUCGGAGGAAGGUGGGGACGACGUCAAAUCAUCAUGCCCCUUAUGACCUGGGCUACACACGUGCUACAAUGGCCGAGACAGAGAGAAGCGAAGGCGCGAGCUGGAGCGAAUCUCAAAAAUGCGGUCACAGUUCGGAUUGUGGGCUGCAACCCGCCCGCAUGAAGCAGGAGUUGCUAGUAAUCGCGAAUCAGCAUGUCGCGGUGAAUACGUUCCCGGGCCU
Molecule: ribosomal RNA, 1335 nt
Filed under: uncultured bacterium
Lineage: Bacteria
Description: bacterial SSU rRNA
Rfam family: Bacterial small subunit ribosomal RNA
Source: RNAcentral